This 730-nucleotide long non-coding RNA is filed under the name Gadus morhua (Atlantic cod). RNAcentral's name for it is "lncRNA (ENSGMOG00000032448.1)". The record is from RNAcentral. Lineage: Eukaryota; Metazoa; Chordata; Actinopteri; Gadiformes; Gadidae.
CAUUCAAUUCGAAAAAACACACAGAAGCUAAAUCAAAUUCUGCUAAUGUCUUUCACUGCAAAGAAAAGAAUCAGCCGUACAAUCUUGCUUCUUCUAUGAACCAGCUACAUCAUGUAGACGUGGAGCCAGGCGAGGCUGCAGAGGUGGGAUGGUGAACAUGCUGGGAAUCCAGAAUGUUCCAUCGGACGGCCUUCCUUUGGUUUGCUGUGGACUCCACAAACAAGCGCUGAUCGUCUAGAUGCACUUCACUGCAGAAGCCCUGAAGUUGGGACCGCUGGAGCGCAGAAGGAAUCUCCUUCAAGAGGAAGGAACGGGCGGGGAGACACAACAGAUAGUGGAGGAUGACCUUCAGAGCUGUGUGCAGGGGAGAGCCAUCAGAAUAAAUUAGGCUGGCAGAAGAAGUGAAAAGCUUGUGGCUCACAUUGGACAGGGGGCUGGUGAGGAGGAGAUGCAGGGGGUGAUGCACAAGCACCCGAUGAAGUAUGCAGGCCUCUGGGGGGGCCGGAGAACCACUGAGACCCCUUGAUUGACAAUGAGACUCCUUGAUUGACACUUGAGACCCCCUGACAGCCGCAAUAGCAAAAUGUCACUGGGGGUCCUAAUGUCCAAUAUUCAUUUUUCAAAUUGCAAAACAUGGAUUCACAAACAUAAAUAGGCUCCAGAAAAACAUUAUUGUGGUGCUCGAUCUGAAUCAUUCAUUGAAUCCCAGAAAGGCCUUCUUCCAGUUGCA